Molecule: ribosomal RNA, 254 nt
Filed under: uncultured bacterium
Lineage: Bacteria
Description: partial 16S ribosomal RNA
Rfam family: Bacterial small subunit ribosomal RNA
Source: RNAcentral
UACAUGUGGGGCAAGCGUUGUUCGGAAUUACUGGGCGUAAAGGGCGCGUAGGCGGGAUGGCAAGUCGGUCGUGAAAUCCCUCGGCUCAACCGAGGAACGUCGAUCGAUACUGCUGUUCUUGAGGAUUGCAGAGGAGACUGGAAUUCCCGGUGUAGCGGUGAAAUGUGUAGAGAUCGGGGAGGAACACCGGUGGCGAAGGCGGGUCUCUGGGCAAUUCCUGACGCUGAGGCGCGAAAGCGUGGGGAGCAAACGGG